GGAGAAGCGAGGUAUCUCUGGAGGCCAACGGAAACGAGUGAAUGUGGGGCUAGAGUUGGUAAUGGAACCAUCACUUCUGUUUCUCGAUGAACCUACUUCUGGACUAGACAGUUCAUCUUCUCAAUUACUUCUAAGAGCACUUCGACGAGAAGCCCUUGAAGGAGUCAAUAUCUGCAUGGUUGUCCACCAGCCAAGCUACACCUUAUUCAACAUGUUUGAUGAUUUGAUACUCUUAGCAAAAGGUGGUCUUGUA
RNAcentral lists this unclassified non-coding RNA (253 nucleotides) under Hevea brasiliensis (rubber tree). Lineage: Eukaryota; Viridiplantae; Streptophyta; Magnoliopsida; Malpighiales; Euphorbiaceae. The record is from RNAcentral.